Molecule: ribosomal RNA, 1137 nt
Filed under: Allophoma siamensis
Lineage: Eukaryota; Fungi; Ascomycota; Dothideomycetes; Pleosporales; Didymellaceae
Description: SSU rRNA
Rfam family: Eukaryotic small subunit ribosomal RNA
Source: RNAcentral
UGUUGAGCACAUAUACGCUGUCUCAAGAUAGCCCRKGCAUGUCCUAGUAUAGCAUUAUACCGUGAAACUGCGAAUGGCUCAUUAAAUCAGUUAUCGUUUAUUUGAUAGUACCUUACUACUUGGAUAACCGUGGUAAUUCUAGAGCUAAUACAUGCUGAAAACCCCGACUUCGGGAGGGGUGUAUUUAUUAGAUAAAAAACCAACGCCCUUCGGGGCUUCUUGGUGAUUCAUGAUAACUUCACGGAUCGCAUGGCCUUGCGCCGGCGACGGUUCAUUCAAAUUUCUGCCCUAUCAACUUUCGAUGGUAAGGUAUUGGCUUACCAUGGUUUCAACGGGUAACGGGGAAUUAGGGUUCGAUUCCGGAGAGGGAGCCUGAGAAACGGCUACCACAUCCAAGGAAGGCAGCAGGCGCGCAAAUUACCCAAUCCCGACACGGGGAGGUAGUGACAAUAAAUACUGAUACAGGGCUCUUUUGGGUCUUGUAAUUGGAAUGAGUACAAUUUAAACCUCUUAACGAGGAACAAUUGGAGGGCAAGUCUGGUGCCAGCAGCCGCGGUAAUUCCAGCUCCAAUAGCGUAUAUUAAAGUUGUUGCAGUUAAAAAGCUCGUAGUUGAAACUUGGGCCUGGCUGGCAGGUCCGCCUCACCGCGUGUACUUGUCCGGCCGGGCCUUUCCUUCUGGAGAACCUCAUGCCCUUCACUGGGUGUGCUGGGGAACCAGGACUUUUACUUUGAAAAAAUUAGAGUGUUCAAAGCAGGCCUUUGCUCGAAUACGUUAGCAUGGAAUAAUAGAAUAGGACGUGCGGUCCUAUUUUGUUGGUUUCUAGGACCGCCGUAAUGAUUAAUAGGGACAGUCGGGGGCAUCAGUAUUCAAUUGUCAGAGGUGAAAUUCUUGGAUUUAUUGAAGACUAACUACUGCGAAAGCAUUUGCCAAGGAUGUUUUCAUUAAUCAGUGAACGAAAGUUAGGGGAUCGAAGACGAUCAGAUACCGUCGUAGUCUUAACCGUAAACUAUGCCGACUAGGGAUCGGGCGAUGUUCUUUUUCUGACUCGCUCGGCACCUUACGAGAAAUCAAAGUUUUUGGKUCUGGGGGGGAGUAUUGGUCGCAAGGCUGAAACUCAGAGUUGGGCCGCGGGAGG